UGGGGUGUGGUGUAAUUGGCAACACGACAGUUUCUGGUUCUGUUAUUCAAGGUUCGAUUCCUUGCACCCCAACCA
Molecule: transfer RNA, 75 nt
Filed under: Geodermatophilaceae bacterium
Lineage: Bacteria; Bacillati; Actinomycetota; Actinomycetes; Geodermatophilales; Geodermatophilaceae
Also listed under: 2 other names
Description: tRNA-Gln
Rfam family: tRNA
About the family: Transfer RNA (tRNA) molecules are approximately 80 nucleotides in length.
Source: RNAcentral